Molecule: transfer RNA, 74 nt
Filed under: Acidimicrobiaceae bacterium
Lineage: Bacteria; Bacillati; Actinomycetota; Acidimicrobiia; Acidimicrobiales; Acidimicrobiaceae
Description: tRNA-Arg
Rfam family: tRNA
About the family: Transfer RNA (tRNA) molecules are approximately 80 nucleotides in length. Their secondary structure includes four short double-helical elements and three loops (D, anti-codon, and T loops). Further hydrogen bonds mediate the characteristic L-shaped molecular structure. tRNAs have two regions of fundamental functional importance: the anti-codon, which is responsible for specific mRNA codon recognition, and the 3' end, to which the tRNAs corresponding amino acid is attached (by aminoacyl-tRNA synthetases). tRNAs cope with the degeneracy of the genetic code in two manners: having more than one tRNA (with a specific anti-codon) for a particular amino acid; and 'wobble' base-pairing, i.e. permitting non-standard base-pairing at the 3rd anti-codon position.
Source: RNAcentral
GCCCCUGUAGCUCAACUGGAUAGAGCGGAGGGUUUCUACCCCUCAGGUUGCGGGUUCGAGUCCUGUCAGGGGUG